Molecule: ribosomal RNA, 462 nt
Filed under: uncultured bacterium
Lineage: Bacteria
Description: bacterial SSU rRNA
Rfam family: Bacterial small subunit ribosomal RNA
Source: RNAcentral
AACGAACGCUGGCGGCAGGCUUAACACAUGCAAGUCGAACGUCCUGGCAACAGGGCGUGGCAGACGGGUGCGUAACGCGUGGGAACAUACCUUUCGGUUCGGAAUAACCCAGGGAAACUUGGGACAAUACCGGAUACGUGCGAAAGCAGAAAGAUUUAUCGCCGAAAGAUUGGCCCGCGUCCGAUUAGCUAGUUGGUGAGGUAAUGGCUCACCAAGGCGACGAUCGGUAGCUGGUCUGAGAGGAUGAUCAGCCACACUGGGACUGAGACACGGCCCAGACUCCUACGGGAGGCAGCAGUGGGGAAUAUUGGACAAUGGGCGAAAGCCUGAUCCAGCCAUGCCGCGUGAGUGAUGAAGGCCCUAGGGUUGUAAACUUCUUGACAGGGGACGAAACAAAUGACGGUACCCUGAAAACAAGCCACGGCUAACUACGUGCCAGCAGCCGCGGUAAAAUCAACGUCG